This 310-nucleotide ribosomal RNA is filed under the name uncultured bacterium. RNAcentral's name for it is "bacterial SSU rRNA". It matches the Rfam family "Bacterial small subunit ribosomal RNA", at positions 28 to 334 of the family's 1533-position model. The record is from RNAcentral.
GACGAACGCUGGCGGCGCGCCUAACACAUGCAAGUCGAACGAGCGAGAGAGAGCUUGCUUUCUCGAGCGAGUGGCGAACGGGUGAGUAACGCGUGAGGAACCUGCCUCAAAGAGGGGGACAACAGUUGGAAACGACUGCUAAUACCGCAUAAGCCCACAGGUCGGCAUCGACCAGAGGGAAAGGAGCAAUCCGCUUUGAGAUGGCCUCGCGUCCGAUUAGCUAGUUGGUGAGGUAACGGCCCACCAAGGCGACGAUCGGUAGCCGGACUGAGAGGUUGAACGGCCACAUUGGGACUGAGACACGGCCCAG